Molecule: long non-coding RNA, 1739 nt
Organism: Dalotia coriaria
Lineage: Eukaryota; Metazoa; Arthropoda; Insecta; Coleoptera; Staphylinidae
Exons: 4
Source: RefSeq, a predicted model, not a curated record
UGCAACAAACAGUCACCUAUUCUGUUUGUCACAGGACAAAGCAUUCUGUGCAUCGUGUGCGUUUACGUCAAACAAUGUUUGGUCAAGUUGAAUUGUCCUUGGAGACAUCGAAUCAUAUGACAAGUUAAUAGGUUGGAAUAUCAGCGAAUUGCUUCCAGACUGACUUAAUAGACAUCUGGAUAAACAGAACAUGGGAAAAGAAUCAAGAUCUUAUCGCCGAAGGCAUUAAAUUAAUGAAGUUGACUAAUUCAAGAGUCUGAUUCUGAUUCUGAUUGAGAUAGGCAACCCAAUACACAGGAAAAUAACAAGUUGGAAUGUAAGUGGACGUGGAAUGUGCAGGAUUCAGCAUUCAGGACGAUGCCGAGAUAGGAGACACGAAGCACGAUAGCACAAAGCCGCAAUUGUGCAAUUUGUACAAUGGCGGAAUUGCAUUUCUCACUCUCGCGCAUUCUAUGCCAUUUGGGAAGUAUAUAGCUGGCUGUGUUUUGCUGGUGGAGUUGGAUUUGGAAUCGGUUCCGAAUGGCUGAUCAGAUCUUCCGCUUGGUUAGGCAAACAUGGCAAACAUUCUCCGGGCGAUUCAGACGACCACAAACAAAACACAAGAGAUGACAUCGGAAUAAAAGUUGGGGAGUAUUAUAUUUGAUACGCAACCAAAUGUACAAGUAAGAAGAUUAUGAACAAGCAAUAAAAAGUAAGAAUAUGCAUCCCACUUGCGACCCUAGCCUGUCUACCCAGUGAAGGGCACUCUAGGGACGUCUAAGGGUGUCAGCAAGGCGACGCAACAAGUUGCUACAAGCUGCAAGCUCGUGUGAGCGCUGAGGUGAGCUUGCAAACUUAAAAGUUGGAAACUUACGCGCCGACGUUGUUGAUCCUCGGGGAUGUUUUGCUUCCGCUCGGAGGCGGCACGCGAGACAAAUUCGAGUGUACGCGAGGGGAUGGCAAAACAUACAUCAGCGUGUAUAUUGGGUUGACAACGUGACAACUAUACUAAAUCACGGCGACGGAAAAGAAACUUGAGAAUGUUGUUGUGUUUGUUUUUAGUGUGAUAACUUUUUAUUGGGAAGGGGUGGGAGAGUCACUAAGGUGUCGUUUAGGAGGUAAUUUUAUUGUUUAUAAGUGUGGAAAAUUUCGUUAUUAUAGGAUUUAUCGUUUUUGAGAUAUUUGAUAUUUUAUAAAAUAUUUCGAAAAGUUUGUUGAAUUUGGUGUUGGGAUUUUGUUUUGCAAUAACUUUUGUACCAAAAAGAUAUAAAGGUUAAUUUGGUUUCAUUUUAUAGAGAAUUUAUUUGUUUAUUACGGGACUUAAUUGCAAAUUAUUUAAAAAUGCCGUUUUUUAAUUAUUUGCGAUUUUCUAAAACAUUACACUUGAUUGUCAUUUCAGUUUACUGACUUUUCUAUGUUCAAGUUUAAUGUGCAAUAACUAUUGUUGAAAAAUAGCUAGAACUUUCAACAAAACAUCUUUUCACAGAUAAUUUAAAUGUCAAUAAGUGUUCCAAAAUUUGUUUAUUUCUAUAAAACAGUUUCUGAAUUAAUUAAGGUUUUGUAAAAUAUUGCAUAUUUUUUAAUUUUAUUUUUAAUUCAAACUUUAAACAGCGAUAAUUUUCUUAUCAAAAAACAUAUAAAACUGAAAUUAGUAUCAUUUUAAAGACAAUUUAAGCCUCUAUAAAAUAGUUUUUAUUUCAUUUUUUUACCAUUAUUAGUUUAGACGUUAUUCAACUUUUUAUAAACAAAUGCACAAUCAG